This 1637-nucleotide small RNA is filed under the name Pan troglodytes (chimpanzee). Its description in RNAcentral is "retained intron". Lineage: Eukaryota; Metazoa; Chordata; Mammalia; Primates; Hominidae. The record is from RNAcentral.
CCUUCACCCCCACCCCGCACCCCUUUCCCCAUCCCGGCUCCGUCACCCUCCCGCCCCCCACACUCAGGACAAGAAUGCCCUGCCCGGAACAACCCAGCAGCGCCUAGAUGGCUUUGGUCACGGUCCAGCGGUCACCUACCCCCAGCACCACCUCCAGCCCCUGCGCCUCGGAGGCAGACAGUGGGGAGGAAGAAUGCCGGUCACAGCCCAGGAGCAUCAGCGAGAGCUUUCUAACUGUCAAAGGUGCUGCCCUUUUUCUACCACGGGGAAAUGGCUCAUCCACACCAAGAAUCAGCCACAGACGGAACAAGCAUGCAGGCGAUCUCCAACAGCAUCUCCAAGCAAUGUUCAUAUUACUCCGCCCAGAAGACAACAUCAGGCUGGCUGUAAGACUGGAAAGUACUUACCAGAAUCGAACACGCUAUAUGGUAGUGGUUUCAACUAAUGGUAGACAAGACACUGAAGAAAGCAUCGUCCUAGGAAUGGAUUUCUCCUCUAAUGACAGUAGCACUUGUACCAUGGGCUUAGUUUUGCCUCUCUGGAGCGACACGCUAAUUCAUUUGGAUGGUGAUGGUGGGUUCAGUGUAUCGACGGAUAACAGAGUUCACAUAUUCAAACCUGUAUCUGUGCAGGCAAUGUGGUAAGAUGACUUUUACUAUCUCUACAAAAGUAUUUUAAUGUUAUUGGAGGAAUAUUUUGUAAGAAAUGUUUGAAAUGGUACAAUUUGCUAUGAAAAUGCUAAAUGAUCUGUUUGUAUAACCAUCGUAGUUAAAGAUGACCUAGAAAUGCAAUAUUCAAAUUGUUGCAAUUGGAAGGCCUUGAGUAUUGGUGAACAAGUGAAAUUCAGAGGAAUUCAGAGGUGUUAUUCUUAGGCUCUGGCAGAGACUUAACGGUUUAGAUAAGCCAGUUGAUACCGAGUUUUAUUAGGGACAUAUUGACUAAGUUAGUUAGUGGACUAAGAGCCAAAUCUAGAACAUCACGUUGCUAUGCAUUAGCUAUUUCUUUUUUUUUUUUUUUUUUUUUUUUUUUUUUGGGACGAAGCCUCACUCUGUUGCCCAGGCUGGAGUGCAGUGGCGCGAUCUCGGCUCACUGCAACCUCCGCCUCCCGGGUUCAGGCGAUUCUCCUGCGUCAGCCUCCUGAGUAGCUGGGACUACAGGCAUGUGCCACCACGCCUGGCUAAUUUUUUUGUAUUUUUUAGUAGAGACAGGGUUUCACCAUAUUGGCUGGGCUGGUCUUGAACUCCUGACCCCGCCUUGGCCUCCCAAAGUGCUGGGAUUACAGGUGUAGCCACUGCGCCUGGCCUGCAUUAGCUAUUUCCUAAGGUAACCAGGGAUAGCAUUCGUUACUUUAUGGAUAAAUAAAUUCCAUUUAAACUGCUGGUGGCUAUUUGCAUAAUGCAAAUAAAGCCUAGAGAAAACAUUAUACUUGCUAAUAACCAUCAGCUGGCAUAUGGACAUUUCAGGGCUAUUUACUACAUGCCAGAUGCUUUGCAUGGAUUAUAUUUAAUCAUCAUACCAAGCCCCCAAAAUAAUAUUAUUAGCCCCUUAUUAUGGGUGAGAAAACAUGCUUUGGAUGGGUUACAUAACUGCCCUGAGAGUAUUUCUUACAUUUAGACAGGAUAGAUCUCUCUCUCUCU